AUGCUGAGAACUCUAAGGAUACUGCCUCCGUAAGGAGGAGGAAGGUGGGGACGACGUCAAGUCAUCAUGGCCCUUACGCCUAGGGCUACACACGUGCUACAAUGGGGUGCACAAAGAGAAGCAAUACUGCGAAGUGGAGCCAAUCUUCAAAACGCCUCUCAGUUCGGAUUGUAGGCUGCAACUCGCCUGCAUGAAGCUGGAAUCGCUAGUAAUCGCAAAUCAGCCAUGUUGCGGUGAAUACGUUCCCGGGUCUUGUACUCACCGCCCGUCACACCAUGGGAGUUGUGUUUGCCUUAAGUCAGGAUGCUAAAUUGGCUACUGCCCACGGCACACACAGCGACUGGGGUGAAGUCGUAACAAGGUAACCGUAGGUGAACCUGCGGUUGGAUCACCUCCUUU
Molecule: ribosomal RNA, 399 nt
Filed under: Helicobacter pylori
Lineage: Bacteria; Pseudomonadati; Campylobacterota; Epsilonproteobacteria; Campylobacterales; Helicobacteraceae
Description: bacterial SSU rRNA
Rfam family: Bacterial small subunit ribosomal RNA
Source: RNAcentral